CCCUUAGAUGUUCUGGGCCGCACGCGCGCUACACUGACGAAUGCAACGAGCUUAUAACCUUGGCCGAAAGGUCUGGGUAAUCUCCAAAUUUCGUCGUGAUGGGGAUAGAUUAUUGCAAUUAUUAAUCUUCAACGAGGAAUGCCUAGUAAGCGCAAGUCAUCAGCUUGCGUUGAUUACGUCCCUGCCCUUUGUACACACCGCCCGUCGCUCCUACCGAUUGAAUGGUCCGGUGAAGCGUUCGGACCGUGGCCUUUGGACGGUUCGCCGUCUGUUGGCUGCGGGAAUUUCGUUAAACCUUAUCAUUUAGAGGAAGGAGAAGUCGUAACA
RNAcentral lists this ribosomal RNA (327 nucleotides) under uncultured eukaryote. RNAcentral's name for it is "partial 18S ribosomal RNA". It matches the Rfam family "Eukaryotic small subunit ribosomal RNA", at positions 1470 to 1796 of the family's 1831-position model. The record is from RNAcentral.